UACGGGGGGGGCAAGCGUUGUUCGGAAUUACUGGGCGUAAAGGGCGCGUAGGCGGCUUUUCAAGUCAGGCGUGAAAUCUCCGGGCUUAACCCGGAAGUGUCGCUUGAUACUGUUAAGCUAGAGUGUGGAAGGGGCAACUGGAAUUCCGUGUGUAGCGGUGAAAUGCGUAGAUAUACGGAGGAACACCUGCGGCGAAGGCGGGUUGCUGGGCCAACACUGACGCUGAUGCGCGAAAGCUAGGGGAGCAAACGGG
Molecule: ribosomal RNA, 253 nt
Filed under: uncultured bacterium
Lineage: Bacteria
Description: partial 16S ribosomal RNA
Rfam family: Bacterial small subunit ribosomal RNA
Source: RNAcentral